GACGAACGCUGGCGGCGUGCUUAACACAUGCAAGUCGAACGAAGAGCGAUGGAAGCUUGCUUCUAUCACUCUUAGUGGCGAACGGGUGAGUAACGCGUAAUCAACCUGCCCUUCAGAGGGGGACAACAGUUGGAAACGACUGCUAAUACCGCAUACGAUCUAAUCUCGGCAUCGAGGAUAGAUGAAAGGUGGCCUCUACAUGUAAGCUAUCACUGAAGGAGGGGAUUGCGUCUGAUUAGCUAGUUGGAGGGGUAACGGCCCACCAAGGCGAUGAUCAGUAGCCGGUCUGAGAGGAGGAACGGCCACAUUGGGACUGAGACACGGCCCAGACUCCUACGGGAGGCAGCAGUGGGGAAUCUUCCGCAAUGGACGAAAGUCUGACGGAGCAACGCCGCGUGAGUGAUGACGGCCUUCGGGUUGUAAAGCUCGGUUAAUCGGGACGAAAGGCCUUCUUGCGAAUAGGGAGAAGGAUUGACGGUACCGGAAUAGAAAGCCACGGCUAACUACGUG
Molecule: ribosomal RNA, 510 nt
Filed under: uncultured bacterium
Lineage: Bacteria
Description: partial 16S ribosomal RNA
Rfam family: Bacterial small subunit ribosomal RNA
Source: RNAcentral